UACGGAGGGUGCAAACGUUGCUCGGAAUCAUUGGGCGUAAAGCGCACGUAGGUGGCGUGUUAAGUCGGGUGUGAAAUCCCUGGGCUCAACCCAGGAAGUGCACUCGAUACUGGCACGCUUGAGUACUGAAGAGGGUCGCGGAAUUCCCGGUGUAGAGGUGAAAUUCGUAGAUAUCGGGAGGAACACCAGUGGCGAAGGCGGCGACCUGGGCAGAUACUGACACUGAGGUGCGAAAGCGUGGGGAGCAAACAGG
RNAcentral lists this ribosomal RNA (253 nucleotides) under uncultured bacterium. Its description in RNAcentral is "partial 16S ribosomal RNA". It matches the Rfam family "Bacterial small subunit ribosomal RNA", at positions 524 to 776 of the family's 1533-position model. The record is from RNAcentral.